RNAcentral lists this ribosomal RNA (584 nucleotides) under uncultured Microbacterium sp. RNAcentral's name for it is "bacterial SSU rRNA". It matches the Rfam family "Bacterial small subunit ribosomal RNA", at positions 239 to 836 of the family's 1533-position model. The record is from RNAcentral. Lineage: Bacteria; Bacillati; Actinomycetota; Actinomycetes; Micrococcales; Microbacteriaceae.
CUUCACUUGUUGGUGAGGUAAUGGCUCACCAAGGCGUCGACGGGUAGCCGGCCUGAGAGGGUGACCGGCCACACUGGGACUGAGACACGGCCCAGUCUCCUACGGGAGGCAGCAGUGGGGAAUAUUGCACAAUGGGCGCAAGCCUGAUGCAGCAACGCCGCGUGAGGGAUGACGGCCUUCGGGUUGUAAACCUCUUUUAGCAGGGAAGAAGCGAAAGUGACGGUACCUGCAGAAAAAGCACCGGCUAACUACGUGCCAGCAGCCGCGGUAAUACGUAGGGUGCAAGCGUUAUCCGGAAUUAUUGGGCGUAAAGAGCUCGUAGGCGGUUUGUCGCGUCUGCUGUGAAAUCUGGGGGCUCAACCCCCAGCCUGCAGUGGGUACGGGCAGACUAGAGUGCGGUAGGGGAGAUUGGAAUUCCUGGUGUAGCGGUGGAAUGCGCAGAUAUCAGGAGGAACACCGAUGGCGAAGGCAGAUCUCUGGGCCGUUACUGACGCUGAGGAGCGAAAGGGUGGGGAGCAAACAGGCUUAGAUACCCUGGUAGUCCACCCCGUAAACGUUGGGAACUAGUUGUGGGGUCCAUUCCA